GUCUACGGCCAUACCACCCUGAACGCGCCCAAUCUCGUCUGAACUCGGAAGCUAAGCAUGGUCGGGCCUGGUUAGUACUUGGAUGGGAGACCGCCUGGAAAUACCGGGUGCUGUAGGCU
Molecule: ribosomal RNA, 119 nt
Filed under: Meriones unguiculatus (Mongolian gerbil)
Lineage: Eukaryota; Metazoa; Chordata; Mammalia; Rodentia; Muridae
Source: RNAcentral